UUGACGGGGACCCGCACAAGCGGUGGAUGAUGUGGUUAAUUCGAUGCAACGCGAAAAACCUUACCCACCUUUGACAUGGCAGGAAUCCCGAAGAGAUUUGGGAGUGCUCGAAAGAGAACCUGCACACAGGUGCUGCAUGGCUGUCGUCAGCUCGUGUCGUGAGAUGUUGGGUUAAGUCCCGCAACGAGCGCAACCCUUGCCAUUAGUUGCUACGAAAGGGCACUCUAAUGGGACUGCCGGUGACAACCGGAGGAAGGUGGGGAUGACGUCAAGUCCUCAUGGCCCUUAUAGGUGGGGCUACACACGUCAUACAAUGGCCGGUACAGAGGGUAGCCAACCCGCGGAGGGGGAGCCAAUCCCACAAAGCCGGUCGUAGUCCGGAUCGCAGUCUGCAACUCGACUGCGUGAAGUCGGAAUCGCUAGUAAUCGCGGAUCAGCACGCCGCGGUGAAUACGUUCCCGGGCCUU
RNAcentral lists this ribosomal RNA (467 nucleotides) under uncultured Allobrachymonas sp. Its description in RNAcentral is "bacterial SSU rRNA". It matches the Rfam family "Bacterial small subunit ribosomal RNA", at positions 910 to 1382 of the family's 1533-position model. Lineage: Bacteria; Pseudomonadati; Pseudomonadota; Betaproteobacteria; Burkholderiales; Comamonadaceae. The record is from RNAcentral.